UAUAAGGAUAGUUGAAUUGCGAAAAAUCAUAUUAUACUAUUGAAAAGAAUGAGUUAAUUAUGCAACUUGAUAAAUAAUUAUGCACGUGAUAAUGAGGAACUUGUAAAGUUGACCAUGUACUACGUAAAAUGGUGUGCAGGAGCCGCUUUCUUGACCACAGAUCAGUGUUAGAAAAUUUUUGUGUAUUUUUCCCAAAGUACGAAUUAGACGCUACAAAAGCUCGAGAAAUAUUUUCUUUUUAUGAAAGGGUGAUCAACUGUUCAGAACAAAACUUUCUUGCGGAGGUGAAAAUGUGGAAACAGCGAACUUCAGGCAAGCAUUUCCGGAAUGCUCUCGAAGCUUUAGAAGCAGUGAACAAAACGUCUUUUGGUAAUGUUUUCAAGACUUUACGCAUAUUGGCGUUAUUGGCUGUUUCAAUAGCAUUACCGGAAAGAACUUUUCAAGAAUUAAAACCUAUUUACGAAAUACGACAGGUCAUGAUAGGCUUAAUGGUCUAGCAUCAAUGAAUAUUCAUAGGGAUAUUGAUCUGUCAGUUUAUGAAAUACUAGAAGAAUUCUUUCAAAAUCCAAGGAAAAUGUAACAUGGAAUGUGAGAUGCCGUGUAAACCUCAGUUAAUCACUGAGCUUCAGCGAUACUGCUUGUACAAAUGUAGAGAAAGUUCGAAUUACAUGAAUAACAACAAAAAUCUUGUAACUUAUUAUAAUUGCUUAUAAUUUGAUGUGAUCUUUUUCAUCAAUAACCUCAUUCCAAACCCAUAUCAACAAACAUAAAUUUUUCUCUGAGUUUAGGAGGUGAUUUAACACCAAAAACCCCCCCGUGGAUCCGCCACUGCUUACCAUACUAAAAUAUUUUACAAACUAAAAUAAAAAAAAUAUAAAGAAAUAUUAUACCCUAAAUACAGGAAACAUAAUCGUUGAUAAACAAUAAAAAAUAUACUUAUAAAAAAUUAAGCGGUCUGAAGGCCGCCAAUGUAAAAAUGAGUUCUACGGGAGAAAAAAAAUGUAUACACCCGGUGUUGGAUCGACAAGGGUAAUUUUUUUGAAGCACUGCCGAAGCCCGCCUACGAAAAAAGAAGUUCAACGCGAAAAUAAUUUGUGUUUCCGCCCAGGGUUAUUUUUUUUUUUGAAACGCGGCCAAAGGCCGCCCACGCAAAAAGGAAUUCUAUGCGAAAAAAGUUUGAUACACCCCCGUAUUUGUCCGACCAGGGUUACUUUUUUUAAGCGCGGCCGAACGCCGCCUACGCAAAAAGGAAUUUUGCGCUAAAAAAAUUUGAUACACCCCGGUGUUGAACCGACCAGUGUUAGUUUUUUUUAAGCGCGGCCGAAUGCCUCCCACGCAAAAAGGAGUUCUACGCAAAAAAAAUUUGAUACACCCCGGUGUUGGACCGACCAGGGUUAUUUUUUCUGAAGCGCGGCCGAAUGCCUCCCACGCAAAAAGGAGUUCUACGCGAAAAAAAUUUGAUACACCCCGGUAUUGGCCGACCAGGGUUAUUUUUUUUUUGAAGCGCGGCCGAAGGCCUCCCACACAAAAAGGAGUUCUACGCGAAAAAAAUUUGAUACUCCCCGGUGUUGGACUGUUAUUUUUUUAUAGGUUGUUGAUUCUCGUAUUUGGGGUUUACUCUGUUCACUCUAUUUCAUUUAGUUAUUUUACAUAUGACGCCGAUAAGGUAACAGAGAUUAUUUGACAGUUUGUAAUUCAUUUGUUAAUCUUAAAUAAUCAUAAUUCAAUAAUAAUUCAAAUGCAUAUUAAAAGCUAUUUUUGCACUAUAUUAUAUAAAAUAAAUGUGUACAAAUGAAUGAUGUGUUAAUGUAUAUAAAAUUGAAAAAUAUAAGAGCUAAAUAAAUUUUAUAUAUAGAAAAUAUGUAAUUAAAAUAUUACAAAUUUUCAACUUUAAACGCGAAUAUCUCAAAAACUAUAAGCUUCCUGCUAUAACCAUAUAUAUUCGUGAUCUGGAGAAUCUUCUCUAUCCGACCAUACCCAUUUUAUUCCCGAAAUCCUGGGACGGUAUACUAAGUUCUUCCCAUUCUUUGUAUCAAAAAUAGGUUGAAUAUGCUCAAUACUUUCCUGAGACCCCAUAAACCUAAUAUAAAGAUUUCGAACUUCAGGGUGGCUUUAAACAGCUUAUAUCGGCGAAUAUUUCAGCUAUCUCAAUAAAAAUAACACAGCGUGUUUUACUCAUAACAACGUAUCUCUGUGCCUAAAAUAGAUAAAUUUGAGUGAAAACUUGACGUAGCUCCUAUAUAACUAAUAUCAGGAACAUCCGGCUGAUUUUACGCUAUAUGAUUGGUUUUCAAGAAUGUGCUGUUUGUAUAAUCGGUUUGGAUAUUUAGGAUAUUACUAUUUUAGGUAAAUGUCCGAAAUUAUUGCUAUUGUUAACUGCAAAUGUUUGUAAAUUAUUGUUUUGAGACCCUAAGCCAAGGUAUCGAGGUACCCGUGCCGAGGGCUGAAUGGUCAGCGGUGGGUAACAAAUAGCUGAUCGCGAACGGUUCCCUUCAAUGCCCGGGCGAGGUCGGAGGUAUAAAAGCCUUCUCUCCGCAUACCGGCUCUGCGGACGAGUGAACAACCCUUUGCGGACAACUCGUGGGACCAAAAAUUAACGAAUACAACAAAACAACAACAACAACCAAUUUGUCGACUAAGGACAUGAAUUACAGGAUUCCCAUUACGGAAUCCGAGGAACACGAAUUACUCGCCUCCAGCCAGGAGACGAGUAAGAGUACUGCCGGACAUACCAACCUAAGUAUACCGGCAGAUACAGCAGUGAUAACAGCGAACGUAAGGGAGGAAGCGUCCACCUCCAAAGCUGCCGUGAGCACCAACCAAAAUGCACUGGCGGCUAAAGGAGAAAUCAAAAAGAAGCGCAAAAAAUCCCAGAAUCAGCUGAGGAAAAACUGGUACCAGAGGGCAGUCUUCAAUCUAGGGAAGAUAGCCAAAGACCAGUCAGCCGGUACCCCAGUUGAUGAGGCAGAAACAAAGCGCCUCAAAGCAAUUGUGGAGGAAUAUGAAAGCUACCUGAAAAGGAAGCAAUCAGAACCUCUAGUAGAGAACAAACAGGAGAGCAAUUCACAAAGAAGGAAUCGCUCUACCAUAGAAACACCAGAAACUCUGCCUAAAAAACCGAGGCGGAGUGAAGGCGAACACAGCAGCGCAACAGCGGCAAGGCAUUUCUGUGAUGUAGCCAGGGAUAGCCUGCAAGUGGCCAUCAGAGGUGGGAAUUCCUCCUCACCGAGCACGGUACAGGAAAGAUGGGUGCAGAUCGACGUCAGAUUGUCAAGUAUGGUGCUAAGCUACGUACUCGACAAUCCAGCGGGUCCUCACCCGGAGUUUGACUCCUCUGAGACCCUCAGGGGCUACAGGGUCAUCAAAUGCGCGGACCAGGCCUCGCUAGAUUUCCUGACGGGUAGUGUUGCUAAGAUCAGCAACGCCUUUGUAGGCCUCCAAUUGAGGCUUAUAUCCGCCAGGGACAUUCCAGACCUCGUGCUCGCAUUUGGUUACCCCCACUAGAGGAGCCAGGAGAAAAUUCCUGAGGUGUAUUAAGCUGCAAAACAAAUCUAUACUGGUAUAGAUGAAUGGCAGCUGAUAAAGGAGGAAAAUCCAAAUAAAGCGCACAGAGCAAUACUUGUGGCCAUUUGCGAUGAGUGCAUUGAGGCUCUCAAGAAGACUGACUACAAAAACAGCUUCGGAAUUCGCAAGGUCAGGUUAAAAAUCUUUCAAGGCGACAAAGCGGCUGACGAAGACGACACGGAAGAGGUCGACGAAACUAGCCAGUUGUUAAGGAAUGUGGGCAUCGAAGAAACCUGAGAUGCCCAAUAACAACCUUAGAUGGGUACAGAUAAACCUGCAGCACUCGAAGCGAAUAUGACAACCCUUAUGAACGAGGGGGGCAUCGACAUCAGCCUAGUACAGGAGCCCUGGGUCAAAGAAGACACCAUUAAAGGGCUAAACAGCAGCAACCAUAACCUGUUUUACACACGGAACAAAGCACAGCAGAAAUCAUAGUGGUAAAGGUGGAACAGAAGGAAAAGCCCUUUACUUCGUCUUGGCCUACUUGGCCGAUGACGAAGACAUACCACCGACCCCGCUCACCAGACUAGUAGAGGAGAACAGGAAAGAAGAUGUUCUAAUAGGGUGUGAUGCAAACGCAAGGCACACAGUAUGGGGUAGCUCCAGCAUAAACACCAGAGGUUUUUGUCUAACGGAGGACGGGCAUGCAGUCACCGUUCCCAUGGCGCCAGGUCAAAGUAACAGGGACGGACCAGUCGUAACAAGGACUGUCGGCUCGGCACCAAUCCUCGAAAUUGCUUUAGGAAUGUUUUCUGCCGUUACAACAAUAACAGUCAUCCGGAAUUAAAGUCUUCCUUUCACCUAGUGCAUUUGUAUAUGUCUCAAUGAGUUAUAGAUGAUACUAACAACCGUGAGAGAAAACAACUUGUCCAAAAUGUUGCCAAAGUAUAAAAAAAAGAGUAUUUGUUUUAAAAACGUAUGCCACAUGUUGCCAGAGUAUAUAAAAAUUCUCGAAUACAGGGCUAUUAACCGACAGAUGACGCAAAAAACAAAUCAAAAACACCAACCAAGCUCUGCGUAAUUAGGCACAGAAUAGUAAUGAAUAGAAGAGGCGCAAAUGUUAAACCAAAAUUUUUUGAGUACUAAUUUGUAGUUUUCAUAAGACAAAAUUAAGACGGAACAUAAAUAAAUAUUUCUUCGAAAAGAAAACACCGCACGCAAUGAACAAAAUGGGGAAAAGGCUAUAGACAAACACAGCGAAUGUUAUUAAAUAAAUUAUGGAUGCGCAUGACUAUUUAGAUUUGCGUUUUCAAUUUGUAUGGUAUGACAGAGAAAUCAUAAUUUAUAUUUAAAAUUGAUCUCUUGAAUUAAAAAGGAUGAUUAUUGUUAAAACCAGCGGAAUUAAAUAAGCCAAUUUAGUGUUACUUACAGAGAUAAUUAAUAUAUUUCAGAAGAAUAUACUAUAUAUUUAUUAAAUGUUCCCUUAUCUAUGCAUAUUUACACAAAUCUGACAAUCAAACAAUAUCUUUCGUUUUUUACUUUUUGUUUUCUGUGAGAACGGCUAGAAAGAAGAAAGUUGAACGAUCGCAGGCAAGUAAGGGUCAGGGUGUGCACUGCCACAUAAUUAUUUUAGAUAUUUUUUAUAACAUUGAAAUAAAUGUGAAUUUAUAUGUAUGUAUUUAUGUUUUUACGUAAAUUUUAUUACACAGUUAAAUUUUAUGAAAAGUUAACCAAAAAGUCCUAAAGGUGUUUUACUUUUCUAAAGUAUUAACUUUUCCAUAGAGUUUUCGAUUUUGAAAAAAAAAAAACACGAAAAUAAGCAUAAUUUGGUGAUAUAAUACGUUCAAUUUAUUUGCAGAACUCCCUUUUAUUCGUAACAAAACAAAAACUUGAAUUUAUUUUGUACUUUUAAACAUAAUAUAUGUAUGUAUGUACAUAUGUACAUACAAAUGAAGAUAUUAAUUUGUAAGGGAUGGUUUAAAGAAGCGGUCGAGACUUGUUUGUUUCUUUUUUUUUUUGUGUAAUAGCUUCUGAUUUCCAUCAUUAUUGUUUUCAUACCCCUUUAUCAAGACAUUGAUGCAUUCAACUGUUUCCGAAAAACUCACUUUCUCUUGUUGCAUAUCUUCCUCGAUAACUGUUUCUUCAACUCCAUUGUCAGACACAUCGAAAUCUUCAUCAUCUUUCGUAUUUCGAUGGCGAUUCCAAUUUCGAUUUCUUCACUGCUAUCGUCAACGCCACCCACCUUGGACAAUAACGAUUGUACCUCUCGAAGUGUUUCCUUGCAAUCAAAUUAAGCAAUUAAAUUUCAUCUUCGCUGUCGUAUUGAUCAUCGUCUCACUGUUUUAUAUUUUCCAAGCUUUUAAAAGCACAGUUCUUGGCAAUUUAUUCCAAACUAAUUUAAUCAGCAAUAUGGCAUCACGAAUUGAAUGUAAUUUCAAAUUAUUCUCAACCGGAACGUUUUCUUGUGAUAUAAUGUUCAAUAACAGUUUAGCCCGGUAUCCUAACUUGAGGGAUUUAGGGGAAACUGACACCUUGUUUUUGAAAUAAAAUUUCUCGAAAUGUGUUUGAAUUAUCAUAAAAUAAGUUGUUACCUGCUUUAGAGCAAUUAUUCAGCUUUAUAAUAUUGCCGGAGUUUUUUUUUCAGCGACUCCCUUUUACACUUUAAUUUACAGUUUAAAAAAAAAAAAAACAUUUUGUCAAAUGUGCUCCUGUCACGGGGUAUAUCCACUUCCGAAUCUUUCACUGA
Molecule: long non-coding RNA, 6250 nt
Organism: Bactrocera dorsalis (oriental fruit fly)
Lineage: Eukaryota; Metazoa; Arthropoda; Insecta; Diptera; Tephritidae
Exons: 3
Source: RefSeq, a predicted model, not a curated record